Long non-coding RNA from Sardina pilchardus (European sardine), 798 nucleotides. RefSeq lists it as uncharacterized. The transcript is spliced from 3 exons. The record is from RefSeq and is a predicted model, not a curated record. NCBI's taxonomy places the organism in Eukaryota, Metazoa, Chordata, Actinopteri, Clupeiformes, Clupeidae.
GUUUCGCUCAAAUGCUCUAUCUAUAUCACCUUAUGUGAAGGACAUCUAUUGAUGGAGGGGGAGAAGAGCCAGUAUGCACGGUUGAUGGAGUCUCUCAGGGAAAGGAGACAACUGAUCGCAGAGGAGCUCCAGGUCAUCUGUGAGCAUCAACUACAGGAUCAUGAAGGGAUGGACACUGAGUACGUGGAUAGCCAGCUACUGAGUGAAGAGGAUGUGGAAGAAGAGGAGGAGAGUGAUCUCCCAUCAUCCUCAGCUGGAUGGAGGGGGAGAAGAGCCAGUAUGCACGGUUGAUGGUCUCUCAGGGAAAGGAGACAACUGACUGCUGAGGAGCUCCAGGUCAUCAACUACAGGAUCAUGCAGGGAUGGACAUGGAGGAGUACUUGGAUAGCCAGCUACUGAGUGAAGAAGAUGUGGAAGAAGAGGAGGAGGAGGGGAGUGAUCUCCCAUCAUCCUCAGCUGAGUAACAAUGUUUUUGUUUGUGUGUGCGCACGCGCUGGCGCAACUGCGCAUGUGCACAAUUUUUAUCGUUACAAGAGCAUUACUUGUUAUAAUAAUGACAGGAAUAGUGGUAAUAGUUUCAUUACAUUUAUAUUUACAUUUCUACUAAUUAACAUUCUUAUGACAAUCUAUUUUGGGUUUGGUUAGCCAUUCCCUGACAGGCCCAUGUCAGGUAGAAAGCGUAGACGCUUGUUACAGUGUUGUCUUCUUACUCUUGUAGUUCUAGUACUGCUUGUUUGUAAAUGUUUAAGUGUUAUACCUGGGUUCUUAAAGAUUUAAUAUAAUUUAUCCAUUUUAAAA